Molecule: long non-coding RNA, 624 nt
Filed under: Mytilus galloprovincialis (Mediterranean mussel)
Lineage: Eukaryota; Metazoa; Mollusca; Bivalvia; Mytilida; Mytilidae
Source: RNAcentral
AACAUGUUGUAUUAGCUAUGAAUCACGGUUCUGUAAUCAGACUGUAUGAUUUGGAAGGGGAUUUUUAAUUGUUUUUGCUGAAGAAAUACUACUAGUCUCGGGGAGUGUCCAAUUAUAAUUAAUAUAGACAUACGACUGAGUCAAUAUAGAGAAAAGAAAUUCCAUCUGCUAAAAGUCUGUUAUAUAAGUCUACACUAUAAUGUAGAGCUGGACAUUCUAAAUAAAGCAAUGUUAAACUGUUGAAAUACUUACUUCACGUAUAGUCCUUAAGUGUAGUAAGAGUAUGUGUAGCGGUAUGUCACUGCUUCCAGUUGGGGUCUUUCAAAUGGUUUUAGAAACGGAAAUAAUUCAUCUCAUUUGAUAAACAAAUUCUAGUCUUGUAAUGGUUUCUUGUUGCUGCUGCUCUUGCUAUAAAGAUAUAUAUUUAAUUACGAUACUAGGGUUGAUUUAAGUAUUAAAUGUCUUGCAAUUCUUAGUUUUAAGUUUCAAAGUUGGUGAUGAUGAUGACUCAGUGUCAAAUUCAAUAUUGCUUUCAGAAUACUUUCACAUAAUAUUGGAAGUCGCCAUCGGUUUUUCUUUUACAAGUUGUGACUUGGAUGGAGAGUUGUGACAUUGGCACUUAUA